GAUGAACGCUAGCUACAGGCUUAACACAUGCAAGUCGAGGGGAAACGAUAGAGAAAGCUUGCUUUUUCUAGGCGUCGACCGGCGCACGGGUGAGUAACGCGUAUCCAACCUGCCCAUCACUUGGGGAUAACCUUGCGAAAGUAAGACUAAUACCCAAUGAUAUCCCUAGAAGACAUCUGAAGGAGAUUAAAGAUUUAUCGGUGAUGGAUGGGGAUGCGUCUGAUUAGCUUGUUGGCGGGGUAACGGCCCACCAAGGCGACGAUCAGUAGGGGUUCUGAGAGGAAGGUCCCCCACAUUGGAACUGAGACACGGUCCAAACUCCUACGGGAGGCAGCAGUGAGGAAUAUUGGUCAAUGGGCGAGAGCCUGAACCAGCCAAGUAGCGUGCAGGAUGACGGCCCUAUGGGUUGUAAACUGCUUUUAUAAGGGAAUAAAGUGAGCCUCGUGAGGCUUUUUGCAUGUACCUUAUGAAUAAGGACCGGCUAAUUCCGUGCCAGCAGCCGCCGUAA
RNAcentral lists this ribosomal RNA (508 nucleotides) under uncultured bacterium. RNAcentral describes it as "partial 16S ribosomal RNA". It matches the Rfam family "Bacterial small subunit ribosomal RNA", at positions 28 to 523 of the family's 1533-position model. The record is from RNAcentral.